This 497-nucleotide ribosomal RNA is filed under the name uncultured bacterium. RNAcentral's name for it is "partial 16S ribosomal RNA". It matches the Rfam family "Bacterial small subunit ribosomal RNA", at positions 28 to 507 of the family's 1533-position model. The record is from RNAcentral.
GAUGAACGCUGGCGGCGUGCCUAAUACAUGCAAGUCGAGCGAACGGACGAGAAGCUUGCUUCUCUGAUGUUAGCGGCGGACGGGUGAGUAACACGUGGAUAACCUACCUAUAAGACUGGGAUAACUUCGGGAAACCGUAGCUAAUACCGGGUAAUAUUUUGAACCGCAUGGUUCAAAAGUGAAAGACGGUCUUGAUGUCACUUAUAGAUGGAUCCGCGCUGCAUUAGCUAGUUGGUAAGGUAACGGCUUACCAAGGCAACGAUGCAUAGCCGACCUGAGAGGGUGAUCGGCCACAUUGGAACUGGGACACGGUCCAGACUCCUACGGGAGGCAGCAGUAGGGAAUCUUCCGCAGAGGGCGAAAGCCUGACGGAGCAACGCCGCGUGAGUGAUGAAGGUCUUCGGAUCGUAAAACUCUGUUAUUAGGGAAGAACAUAUGUGUAAGUAACUGUGCACAUCGUGACGGUACCUAAUCAGAAAGCCACGGCUAACUACGUG